GAACUCGCACUAAGCACACUGGAAUAUAUCCUCGAUAUACGAACGAGCAGUCUCCGACCAGCGAAUACAAUGCAAGGUCGUGUCCGUACACGGUUGCGUUUUAAACUUUUUACUUCGCCUUAAACGUGUUUUUGCAAAGGAUUUUUUGUCCGUUUUGGAUCUGUUUGAAAUUCGAGGACCCGGUUCUGUUUUUUUUUUUAGGAUGCUAGAGACACUAGAGGCUCUAUCGAGCAUGGACGUGUGAAGGACCUCACGACCAAGUGAUGAUCGGAGCCUAAGAGACUAUUCCAGCUACGCCCGGACGCAUAGGUGAGCUCACGGACUCAUCCUGAGAGACAUCCGCAGAAUCUACAACCGGAUCGGAAUCGCGACCCACUGAGAAGAUCCGACGAGAAACUCACUAGGCUGGGUUGUUUGGUCUCACAAUACGCCUUUUUUUUAACGCUGGGGAAUCCAUUUACGGAUACCCAGUCGAGGUAACAGACCGGGUUAUGUCCGGCGCUUCGUAAGAUGAAGAAGGGGAGAAGAGAAGGACCGAGGUCCUCGACCUCUCCCAAUUUCCCACAGGAGACUACGCCUUGAAAAAUGCGCGCGAGGCACUUGCCCCGCAGAACCGACUACCGACUAAACCCCAUCGAGCUUCACCACACCGACUACAUGAAACUUACGGUACCGCAGUGCGCGCCGAAACUCACAAUACGCCCUAACAUUAGUAAAUAAACAAACUGUGUUUUCUUUUUUUUAGCUUCGUUUUUUAUUAAACCAUAAAUAAAUAUUAGCAAAAAACAAACGUGUGGCACUCGGGAACUGCCGCGGUAAAGCUAUUGCAUAGCAUUUUUUAUCAACUUAUGCAAUUAUAAUUAGACAACAAUAAUUUAAUAUUAAAACAAUAAUGAAACAAGACCACGCUAUAUUAAACAUUAAUAAAAGCAAAA
Molecule: long non-coding RNA, 935 nt
Organism: Bombyx mori (domestic silkworm)
Lineage: Eukaryota; Metazoa; Arthropoda; Insecta; Lepidoptera; Bombycidae
Exons: 2
Source: RefSeq, a predicted model, not a curated record